UUAACAAUGAGAAUUAAGUCUAAAACAUUAUAAUUAGUCCAACAUUUAAGCAGUCAACAGUACAAAUAUGUAGAAGAACAACCCAACACAGCCCGAUAUCGAUGUGUCACAAGUCACGAGUAUCUACUAAGGUCUAAAAUACAAUAGAAUUUCUGUAAAUGUACUAAAUACGGUCUAAUAACAUCAAAGAGAGAAAAAUAGUGCUGCGAACGUCGGGCAGCUACCUUGCUAAACUCCAAAGAAUCUGCCUCUGAUCAACCAAUACCCGCUACCGGGUGCAGAAAUACCUGAAUCUGCACACAAGGUGCAGGGAGUAAAGUGAGUACUCCAACUCAGUGAGUAAUAAUCAUAACUAAAGACUAAGUGAUAGGAAAUCACGAAACAUUAACAUGUUGUAUAGAAGUAGUACAAAACCAGUAAGAAAGCAAUGAAGCUGUGAAAUCUCUUAAAGCAUCUUAGCUUAGUUUAAACUUCUUUUAAAACGACUUUUCAACAGUUAAGCAAUUGAAUGCAAAGCAAUUAGAACAGAUAUGCACAGAAAAUCCGCCCCUCGGGCACAAAUACGCAAUUAAACAGGUAAAUGACAGACAAAUAAGACAGGUCAGCACAUAAAGGAUUGCCCCUCGGGCACAAUGUCAACAAUACCAGCCCCUUGGGCUAUAUCUCACAUCACAAUUGGUACCCGCACUCACUAGGGGUGUGCAGACUCCUGGAGGGGCCCCUUUCAACCCAAGCGCAAUAUCAAGCUAUCUCGUGGCAUCAUCACUAGGCUUUUGGCCUCAUAUCUACAAGCCACCCCGUGGCGUACAUAUCUCAGGCCCUCGGCCUCAUAAUCAUAAUCAGUGUAUCACCACUGCGGCAUGCAACCCAACCCAAAAGUAUUCUCACAGCACAAACCCUCGGCCUUACUCAGUCAAAAUCACAUAAGCUACUCGGGCAACAGUAAAAACAUGAUGCUCAGCCCAAAAUAUUAUUUGAAAUAUCAUUUGAUAUAUUAAAACAGAGUAAACAUGGCUGAGCUAUGAAAACAAUGAAAUAUAGCAUGACCGAGUUCAAGUAUAAAGUCAAGAUAGUGAGGAAAUAUCAAUAAAAUCCCCUAAGGGUUCAAAUAGUUGGCACUCAGCCCAAAUAUGGCAUUCAACCCAAAAUAUGAUGACAACAAAUAGAUUUUUCAGUCAAAUACGCAGUAAAAUAGUCAUUUGGGAUGGUCUAAGUCAUAAUCCCCAACAGUGCACGACCCCACGCUCGUCAUCUAGCGUGUGCGUCACUUUAAUAUAGCACAACGAUGUGCAAUUCGGGGUUUCAUACCCUCAGAACAUCAUUUACAACUAUUACUCACCUCAAUCCGGUUAAAUCUCUAGCUCGCGACGCCUUUGCCCCUCGAAUCGGCCUCCACUCGCGUCAAAUCUAUCCAAAAAUCAAAACGAGAAUGUCAAAAUAUGCUAAGGGAUCGAAGCCCAAGCGAAAAUAAUCAAUUUACAACAUAAAUCCCAAAAUUACCAAAACCCGACCCCCGGGCCCACAUCUUGGAAUUUGAUAAUUUUUACAUCAACGGAAUCCUUAUCCUCCCACGAGUACAUACAUAUCAAAAGUUCUCAAAUCCGACCUCAAAUGGUCCUUCAAAUCCUCAAGCAAAGGUCUAAGUUUUCAAGCCCUAGUUUUCCCCAAUUUUAACCCUUAAAUUCCAUUAAUUAUAGCUCUAAUCCAUGAAAUAAUAGCAUAGAGACACGUUUUAGGUCCAAAUUCCUUACCUCAAUGAAGUUCCCUUGAAAUCCCUCUUCAAAAUCGUCCAAAAAGCUCCAAAGCCGAAUUAGAAAUGAUGAAAAUAGUUCAAAAUCGCGAAGGACACAAUUUAUACCUUCUGCCCAUGCAUUUUCACAUUUGCGGCCCUAUUUACCACUUCUACGGUACCGCAUUUGUGGUUCUUGAUCUGUUUCUGUGGAAAUCACUUAAGCUUCCCCUUAUCUGCAUCUGCGAUAUCGCAGAUGCGGUCCUCCUCACCGCUUUUGCGGUUCCUGCUCUUCAAGCCCCCUUUUCACUUCUGCGACCAAUCGUUCGCACAUGCGGCGUCGCACCUGCGGUCCCCAAUCCGCAGGUGCGGAAGUACCAGAAGCAGUAAAAAUCUGCAAUCUCACAAAGUCUCAAACUCCUCCGUCAACCAUCCAAAAUCACCCCGAAGCCCCCGGGACCUCAACCAAAAGCACCAACAUAUCCCAACACCUUAUUCAAACUUGUACCAAUUUUCAAAACACCUCAAACAACAUCAAAUCAACCAAAACACAUCGAAUUCAAGCCUAAGUUUCCAAAAAAAUCUUCUGAAUUCCGCUUUUGAUCAAAAACUCAACCAAACCACGUCUGAAUGACCUGAAAUUUUGCACACACAUCCCAAAUGUCACAACGGAACUACUGCAACUUUCAGAAUUCCAUUCCGGCCUCUAUAUCAAAAUCUCACCUAUCAACCAGAAAAUGCUGAAAUCUCAACUUCGCCAAUUCAAGCCAAAACCUUCCACAGACUUCCAAAAUGCAUUCUGAUCACGCUCCUAAGUCCCAAAUUACCUAGCGGAGCUAACCAAAUCAUAAAAAUUCCAAUCCGCGAUCAUAUACCAACAAGUCAAAUCUUGGUCAAACCUUUCAAAUUUCAAGCUUCAAACUGAGAAUUGUUCUUCCAAAUUCAUUCUGAUUACCCUGAAAUCCAAAACCAUUGAUUUACAUAAGUCAUAAUACAUCACACGGGGCAAGUCAUGCCCGAGAACUAGCGAGCAAAGUGUAAAAGCUCAAAACGACCGGUUGGGUCGUUAUAAUUCUGCGGGCACAGACUAUCAUCUCCAGCUACCAGAUUACUAUGUUAAAGUUGUUUACCUAAGCGCUCUAAUUCAAUUCUAAGUCGUGGCCUAUGCGUGCACUACCCAUCCCAUACUAAUGGUCCAUGAGGCUUUGGACCUCUAUUUAAAGUGGUUCUAGACUUUACCUAGGCUGCUCAAAAUGAUAAAACUAGGAGACAUACAAAACAAGUUGGACUUCAUAUAAGGGCAAUCAAAGGCUCAGAUAGCCUUCACACUUAGAUAAUAAAUGCACGCGAACAGAUUUUUCACAUUAGACGGUUUUAGAACUAAGACAAAAUAAAGUCUUUAAGCCAUAUAGACAUGGUCUCUAUAUGACCUUAGAUUCAAACGUGCAGGCAGUUUCAUAUGCAAGGCGAUACAUAUAGACAUGCUUUCCAAACAAUUACAGUUGUUGCAUGCUGAUUAUUGAAAUUAUAAGUUAUUAAACCUAUAGACAUUAUUUCUAAGUGAUUUAAGGGACAGCAAAAACUAUUGGAAAUGCUCAGAAUUACUCAUGCUUUCUAAUAGUGGCAUAACUAAGCAAUAAAACAAUGUUUGAAGAGUUAAACAUUAACACUUUAAAACGAGUAGCAAUACCCUAUAGGCAGGAUUUUUAAAGAUUGGCAAUUGGCACUGAUUUUUUAAUAUUUAGCCCCUACAAACAUGUUUUCUAGGUGAACAGUAUGAUACAAUAGCAAAUUAAACAAUUAAAAUCCUAUAGGCAUGAUUUCUAAUGAAUAUGUCGCAGUUAUGCAAAUUGAAGAAUGAUCAUUGACAUUUUUUUGUUUCCUAUAGAUAUGUUGUCUAGCUGUAGACAUAGGAAUAAAUCACUUAUCUUUGAUAACAUACGAGUUGUGUGAGUGUGUGAUUUUCCUAAUGGAAUGAUUUCUAGCAGUUGCACAUGGAAAUUGAAUGGCAUAUAUAGCAGGUCUGAUAACAAGUAGAUCAUAUGAAUCCUGUAGGCAUGCUUUCCAUCCUUUCAUGCAAACAUUAGAGUAUACCCGUUUCCCCAAUUUCACUAACACCCCAAUUGUUUAUUAUAGAAUUAUUAUAGACCCAACGAUGAAUGUAAUUACAAAACAUUAUACAAGCAAUAACAGUAGGCCCAUAGCAGGCCCCAAAAAUAAAAAGAUACCCAGUAUUGUCUGGGCCUUUAGCAAAACUCUUUCUUCAGCAAUCAGCAUACACAGAUCCCAAUAGGGAACUAUAUCCCUUAACAUAGCCCAAAAUCCAUAGAGGAACUCAAGCCAAACCAAACAGCCACAAAUUUACCACAUGACCCAAACAUUGAGUUACACAAAUAUCACUUAAACAAACUUAUUUGCACAUCCAGUAGACAGAAAGAAGAAAGAACUGAGUAUCAAAGAUAGGAGAGUGGCCAAAGAAACCCAAAUCCUAGUGCGUCAGAGUUCACAAGGGUCUCAAAUGGACCUAGAGCAGUACUUACACUAGGGAGGUUAAUAGUAAGGAUCUUGGUGGCCUUGACUUUCAGCCGGCCAAGAAUGAUAGAUUCAGAAUAGCAUAAGUAACAAAUGAGAAUUAGAGGACACUGGUUAAGGGACAGAAUUUGAAGAAAUACACUUGUAUUUUAAAAAGCAGACAUGGCAAAUUUAAAACAUAGAACAUGUUAGUUAAGAAGGUCAACAAGACUUAGAGGUAGAUGACUAUUACAGGUUCAACACUUAGCAAGGAGUAACACAUUGAUAGAAAGCACAUUGAGAGUUAGAGGAGAAUUAAGUUCCCUGAGUUGACAAGAUUAACAUACAAGGUUCAUAAUGCCAAACAAAUCUAAAUAGGACACUAACUUAGAAAGUUUAAAGCUUAAAGGUCCAAACCAUGCUAAAUAUUCAUCACAACACCAGAAAACAAACUUGCCAAUCUAUCACUAAACAGUUUUAAACAUUACAAGGAAACACAGACUAAGGUAGCUACUCUAAAUGUCUCAUACAAUUACUAGGGAUAUAGAAUUAAGCAAACAAAGACAUGUUGAAUGACACAAUAGCAGGGAAGCAGGUCACAGUUAAUAGUGAAGGUCUUAACACAGGUUAUAACAUACUACAUAUGUGAGGCAUUCACUACAGGGAUUCAGAACAAAGUAGUAAAGCAAGCUUAUGUCAAAUAGCAAAUGUGAACAUUCAGGCACCAACACAUUUGCUAAACUAACUUAAGAGAGUUCAAAUUAUUCAAAUUAGGCUUAAACAUGUCUCAGAGAUAGCCCAGAAACAAUGCUAACAAGGUUGCACACAGAGAUAGCUCAGAUACACAUUAAGUCGUGAAGUUUCAGAGGUGUAAAUAUGUUGGACAUAAACACAAAAAAACGAAAUCGUAAAGCCAAGAGACUUACCAGUUAAAUAGGUAACAAGAAAGAACAAAGUUCACAGUAUUAUGAGUAUCAACAAAAGCCAAAAAUCCAGAAUCUUGGUGCGUCAGAGUUCCCAAGAGCUUCAAAUGAACCACGGGCAGGUGCACUAAAAAAAGAUUGAAUAAUCAAAUUACGGUGGCCUUGACUUUUAGCCGGCCAAGAACCAGAGUAGAGAACAAUAGAGUAAUAGCUACAGUUUUUUUUACUGAAUCUGACGAUUAAAGGGUCUAUUUCAAAGGGAAAUGGGAGGGGUUUAUAUAGUCGGUCAAUCAGGCGAGUAAAUAAAGAAAGAAAUCAAUCCAAUAUGAACAAAGAAAGGAAAAACAUAUGCAAUCAGAAAGUAACUAGUAAAGGAAAGAAAUCGAAAAUCAAACCCUAAUUAGGGUUCCAUGUUUGAAAAUUCAUUUACUAGUAUGAGAAAUCGAUGAGUCUUCCAUGUAUAUGGACGAGAUAUCGUCCAGAUUCUAGCGAUUGAAGUUGAACGAACCAAAUCUAAGAGAUGGUACUUGCCAAGUUUAGGCAAGUACUAGAUGAUACCAUGGUCUUGCAGGUAAUACUAAGAAAACACAUAAAAGACAAGAAAAUUAUGGAAAUAAUCCAUGAUUGAUACGGAUUCGCAGAAAAUUGAGAGGGCGGCUAGGGUUUCUGAAGAGAGGAGAAACGAGGAUUUAUGGCUGUG
RNAcentral lists this long non-coding RNA (5863 nucleotides) under Nicotiana tabacum (common tobacco). RNAcentral describes it as "long non-coding RNA (NTAB_LNC016902)". The record is from RNAcentral. Lineage: Eukaryota; Viridiplantae; Streptophyta; Magnoliopsida; Solanales; Solanaceae.